RNAcentral lists this long non-coding RNA (1840 nucleotides) under Sorghum bicolor (sorghum). RNAcentral describes it as "long non-coding RNA (SBIC_LNC002208)". The record is from RNAcentral. Lineage: Eukaryota; Viridiplantae; Streptophyta; Magnoliopsida; Poales; Poaceae.
GCGAUGUUGGGGCUGCCCUCGCAUGGCUGAAGUCUCAUAUCCGCAUGCUCCCUGACUUUGUCGGAGGUGCUGUUGAUUUUGGGGCUUUGGCCGCGGUUAGCUCCUUCGCUAGGCUUUUACGCCGUGGAGGUUGCUCUCACGCGGAGGGAGUCGCCAAGGAGGAAUUUGCUGCGGCGGAGGACGUUGGCGAAGGCACACCUAGCCUGCGCAAAUCUGUCCGGAACUUUAUCAGUUCGUUCUGGAUUAGGUUUGGGCGGGCUGAGGCGAAGAAAAUGGCGGAGGAUCGUCGAGCUGAGGUUUGUACUAUUUGGUUAUUCCUUUGCGUUUUUUUUUGUUACUUUUCAACGCUACUUAAGAUUACUGGCUUGUAGGAAAUUGCGAAGAAGAAGACUAAGGUUGAUAAGGCCGGUCCUUCGCGUCCCCCUGGCGGGGUGCGUCCUUCGGCUCAGGCUGAGGCGGAGGUUCGUGACGCAGGUGUUGAAACUGCGGAGGAACCCGGUGCCAGGGCUUCAGAGCAACCCGAAGCUCCUGCUCCUCCUCCGCCUCAGGUGUGAGGUUUUUUUAGCUUGUAGGUUUUUUAGUUUUCGCGUCUGCUGCACAUGCGACGCUUUUUUUUUUGUAAGGAAAGUCGGAGGUCUUGACUUCAACUGUAAAUACUUUGGUGGUAAUGUAAUAUAUCGGGUUGUUUUUGGAUGAAUGUCUGUUUUACAAUUUUAUCCUGCGCAGGUCUCUAGCGGAGGACCUGCGCAGGAUUCUUGCGAGGCUCCGCUUUCAAUUUUUUACAAAGGAAUUUAUGUUUCUGGUGAGUUGUGGGAUUAUUGGCGGAUUGCUUUCCCUAACAUGAGAUUGGUGGAUAUGUUCGAAUUUGUUGGAUAUGAUAUUGAUGGCGAAGGAUCUGAAUUUAUCCGGUCGCUUGCGCGCCGAGGUUCAUGGCCUCCGGCUUAGGUGGUGGUUUUUGUUUUGGUUCUACUUUGUCGUAGGCUAUUUGUGUUUUUCUUUUUUAUGACUUGGUUUGAUGUGUUUAUGCAGUUGAAGUAUCCUAUCCUUCGCAUAUUUGGGGAGGAGAUUGAGGAAUCUUUUUGGCUGGAGGGUCCUGACGUGUGUGAGCGUUAUUUGCCUGGACGUGCGGAGGUUUGAGACUUUGGUUUUUUGACAAGUUUGUGUCCUUCGCUUGAUUCAGUGAUUUCUGAGUUGGUUUUUCUGCGUAGGUUGUUCGUUCCCCUCCUGGAUGUGAAGUUCUUUCUCCGAGUUUUGUCGAAGGAAGCUAUGUGACUCCAUUGACGUUCAAGCGUGGCGACUUAUAUGCAAGUGGUUGGUUAAUAGACUGGUGGAGAGCUGCGCGUCCUUCGCUUAAUGUUGAUGAUUUGGUUGACUAUCUGGCACGGGAUUAUUGUAGUGAUUUUAGGGUUUUUGGUGACUCGUGCGUGAGAUUUGUACGUGACUCGUAGAUCCUUCGGUUGUUUGGUCGACGGAGGAUUUGUAUGUUGGAUUUGUACAAGCUACCUAUAACCUUCGACUUUUUAUGGGUCGGAGGAUAAUUUUAUUCUUUCCUUGUAACUGUUCUUUUGUAAUGAUUUCUUCAUCAAUAAUAAAGUUUUUAAGUUUGCUGCAACCUUCGAUCUCAUUUUUAUUACAACCUUCGCGCUACAGCAUUUAUACAUUGCAACAUAACGGUGGUGUUGAUCCUAAGGAUCUUUGUGUUGCUGUGGCCUGCUUGUGCUUGAUGCUCGAUGUUGCGAAGGUGUUGUUGAUUUUUUCUUGCGCGGAGGAUCGCCGCUUCUUGGCCUUAGAACCUUCGACUUUAUUGGUGCGAAGGAGCCUCCGCUGAACUGUGAUACUU